This 80-nucleotide signal recognition particle RNA is filed under the name uncultured Roseovarius sp. RNAcentral's name for it is "Bacterial small signal recognition particle RNA". The stretch from base 1 to 68 matches the Rfam family "Bacterial small signal recognition particle RNA", at positions 13 to 80 of the family's 97-position model. From Rfam's summary of the family: The signal recognition particle (SRP) is a universally conserved ribonucleoprotein involved in the co-translational targeting of proteins to membranes. Archaeal SRP consists of a 7S RNA and homologues of the eukaryotic SRP19 and SRP54 proteins. In most bacteria, the SRP consists of a 4.5S RNA and the Ffh protein (a homologue of the eukaryotic SRP54 protein). The record is from RNAcentral. RNAcentral also lists the same sequence under 1 other name. Lineage: Bacteria; Pseudomonadati; Pseudomonadota; Alphaproteobacteria; Rhodobacterales; Roseobacteraceae.
CGGGCAGGCACCUCGCCAACCCGGUCAGAUCCGGAAGGAAGCAGCCGUAACGAGCCCCGCUUGGGUCGUUGUCCAGCCUC